AUGUUCCUCCAUGUUGUUGGCCAUAACCAGAGGUUCAGCGUCAUUCACAACACGUUCAGGAGAUCAAUGGAGACCAUCUCUAGGUACUUCAAGCAGGUGCUUUUUGUUGUUGGGGAGCUUAGAGGAGAGAUGAUCAGGAGACCAUCUGGCCAGACUCCACCCAAGAUUCGCGGAAGCCCAAGAUGGUAUCCAUACUUCAAGGUUCAGCACUAA
This 213-nucleotide ribosomal RNA is filed under the name Triticum aestivum (bread wheat). RNAcentral's name for it is "partial small subunit ribosomal RNA". Lineage: Eukaryota; Viridiplantae; Streptophyta; Magnoliopsida; Poales; Poaceae. The record is from RNAcentral.